Molecule: unclassified non-coding RNA, 434 nt
Filed under: Hevea brasiliensis (rubber tree)
Lineage: Eukaryota; Viridiplantae; Streptophyta; Magnoliopsida; Malpighiales; Euphorbiaceae
Source: RNAcentral
CAACAGAUUGUCUCUGCUGAGCCUUCUGCUGCACAUUGCACACAUGUAUCUUCUGUUCAGCAAUAAUAACUACAUGUUUCCAGCUACUUGGAAGUCUUCAAGCCAGUCAUAAUCCUUAAUGAGCUGUUACAACUGCAGUCAAUGUGACCUCAACCUUUUGCUUUUGCAGAGAAAGGACAGUUGCUUACCAGAUGCUUAUAAAUUGGUUCUUUCGUACAACCAAUUGGAUAUUCUUUUGUUGUGUGAAUUCCUUUUUACCAAAAGUUGUGAGGAACCUCAGAGAUUUUGGUUCCUCAAAGGAGGAAUUCAGGAAGUCCUCAGGGCUUUCGUCUAUUGGUUAGAACACAACGCAUGAUGUGUGGAUUAGGUGUACAUCACAAGUUUGAACUCUGCCACCGGCAGAAUCCUAGUAUUUAAGUGGAGAAGGGUUAAGG